AGAGAUGGCCUGGUAGGUUCAGUGAUGGCAGUAACGGAAACACGGGAAUUGAUUUCUAUCAUCAAUUCAAGGAAGAUGUGAAGAUCAUGAAGAAAACGGGUUUGGAGGCCUUUAGAUUCUCAAUCUCAUGGUCCAGAGUCUUGCCUAGC
Molecule: long non-coding RNA, 149 nt
Organism: Rhododendron vialii
Lineage: Eukaryota; Viridiplantae; Streptophyta; Magnoliopsida; Ericales; Ericaceae
Exons: 3
Source: RefSeq, a predicted model, not a curated record